RNAcentral lists this ribosomal RNA (397 nucleotides) under uncultured bacterium. RNAcentral's name for it is "partial 16S ribosomal RNA". It matches the Rfam family "Bacterial small subunit ribosomal RNA", at positions 338 to 732 of the family's 1533-position model. The record is from RNAcentral.
CCUACGGGAGGCAGCAGUGAGGAAUAUUGGUCAAUGGGCGAGAGCCUGAACCAGCCAAGCCGCGUGAAGGAGGACUGUCCUAAGGGUUGUAAACUUCUUUUAUAAGGGAAUAAAGUGAGGCACGCGUGCCUUUUUGUAUGUACUUUAUGAAUAAGCAUCGGCUAACUCCGUGCCAGCAGCCGCGGUAAUACGGAGGAUGCGAGCGUUAUCCGGAUUUAUUGGGUUUAAAGGGUGCGUAGAUGGGUUGUUAAGUCAGUUGUGAAAGUUUGCGGCUCAACCGUAGAAUCGCAAUUGAUACUGGCAGCCUUGAGUUGAGUUGAGGUAGGCGGAAUUCGUGGUGUAGCGGUGAAAUGCUUAGAUAUCACGAAGAACUCCGAUUGCGAAGGCAGCCUACUAA